Molecule: long non-coding RNA, 1382 nt
Filed under: Chrysemys picta bellii (western painted turtle)
Lineage: Eukaryota; Metazoa; Chordata; Testudines; Emydidae
Description: lncRNA (ENSCPBG00000014380.1)
Source: RNAcentral
GGCAGAGUCCAGGAUAAAAGAUAAGGGAAUGGGACACAUCAACACAAUCUGUGGAAAUGUUCUAGUGAGAAGCCCAUUCAAUUUACUCCCCACCAGGUGGGAAGGGAGAAGGCAUCACACUUCCUACCAGGGUGCUGUUCAUGGAUCCUAUGCCGGGGCUCUAUCUUUCAUAUAGGUCUCCAGCUCAUAGGUGGCUGAUAAACAUAAAGCCUUCCUCUCCCACGGGUGGAAGUGCUGCUCUCUCAACCCCACCAAUGUUCCCAGCCUCCUAUCUACUGGGAUGGAAGAAUAACUAUACUAUCCUCUUCCGGCCUCCUGGCUGCUAAUAAGUACAGAGUGUCUCUGCUAAUCUAUUGUUCCUUUAGCUGUCUGCCUAUUAUUCCUUACAGAGAGAGUCUAUACGGCACUGCUCUUCCUCAGCCUUUAGUUUUUGGGUCAUCCUUUCUCAUGAAUAGCUUCAGUGUCUGAUCCUGCUCCGGGCUUUCUAAAGUAGCAGUUGCAGAGUGAAAUUAACAUAAUUCUCAUUAAUUUCCUUGCUGCAUACUGGUCUGAAUAUCUGAGCACUGAAACUCACCACAAAGGUGUUAACAUCAAACUGAUGCUUCUUGGGAAAGUUAUGAGCAGGAGCAGAGACACUGCAGCUGCCUGUGUGCAGACUCAGGAAAACAGAAUUCCAUGGUCUCAUUUGAAAGAUUUUCUUCUAAACCAAUGGUGCUCAACCAGGGGUACAUGUACCCCUGCGGGUACACAGAGGUCUUCCAGGGGGCACAUCAACUCAUUUAGAUAUUUGCCUACUUUUACAUCAGGAUAUAUAAAAAGCACUAGCAAAGUCAGUACAAACUAAAAUUUCUUACAGACAAUGCCUUGUUUAUACUGCUCUAUAUACUAUACACUGAAAUAUUAAGUACAUUAUUUAUAUUCCAAUUGAUUUAUUUUAUAAUUUUAUGAUAAAAAUGAAAAAAUAAGCAUUUUUUUCAGUAAUAACGUGCUGUGACAUUUUUUGUAUUUUUAGUAGGGCUGUCAAUUAAUUGCAGUUAACUCAUGCGAUUAACAAAAAAUUAAUUGCAAUUAAAUUAAUUAAUUGUGAUUAAUCGCACUGUUAAACAAUAGAAUACCAUUUGAAAUUUAUUAAAUAUUUUUGGAUGUUUUUCUUCAUUUUCAAAUAUAUUGAUUUAAAUUAAAACACAGAAUACAAAGCAUAGAAUAAUAAUAAGGCACAGAAUACACAGUGUUCACUUUAUAUUAUUUUUUAUUACAAAUAUUUGCACUGUGAAAAUGAUAAACAAAAGAAAUAGUAUUUUUCAAUUCAUCUCAUACAAGUACUGUAGUACAAUCUCUUUAUCAUGAAAGCGCAACUUACAAAUGUAGGUUUUUUUUUGUUA